RNAcentral lists this ribosomal RNA (498 nucleotides) under uncultured bacterium. RNAcentral's name for it is "partial 16S ribosomal RNA". It matches the Rfam family "Bacterial small subunit ribosomal RNA", at positions 899 to 1397 of the family's 1533-position model. The record is from RNAcentral.
ACUCAAAUGAAUUGACGGGGGCCCGCACAAGCAGCGGAGCAUGUGGUUUAAUUCGAAGCAACGCGAAGAACCUUACCAAGGCUUGACAUCCAAAGAAUCCACAAGAGAUUGAGGAGUGCCCUUCGGGGAACUUUGAGACAGGUGGUGCAUGGUUGUCGUCAGCUCGUGUCGUGAGAUGUUGGGUUAAGUCCCGCAACGAGCGCAACCCCUGUUGUUAGUUGCUACCAUUAAGUUGAGCACUCUAACGAGACUGCCGAGGUUAACUCGGAGGAAGGUGGGGAUGACGUCAAAUCAUCAUGCCCCUUAUGCCUUGGGCUACACACGUGCUACAAUGGCCGGUACAAUUUGAUGCAAGACCGCGAGGUGGAGCAAAUCAGAAAAACCGGUCCCAGUUCGGAUUGUAGGCUGCAACUCGCCUACAUGAAGCUGGAGUUGCUAGUAAUCGCGAAUCAGCAUGUCGCGGUGAAUGCGUUCCCGGGCCUUGUACACACCGCCCGU